AUUGAACGCUGGCGGCAGGCCUAACACAUGCAAGUCGAACGAGUGGCGGACGGGUGAGUAAUGUCUGGGAAACUGCCUGAUGGAGGGGGAUAACUACUGGAAACGGUAGCUAAUACCGCAUACCAUCAGAUGUGCCCAGAUGGGAUUAGCUAGUUGGUGGGGUAACGGCUCACCAAGGCGACGAUCCCUAGCGGGUCUGAGAGGAUGACCAUCCACACUGGAUCUAAGGCACGGUCCAGCCUCCUACGGGGUGAAGCAGGGGGGAAUAUUGCACAAUGGGCGCAGGCCUGAUGCAGCCAUGCCGCGUGUAUGAAGAAGGCCUUCGGGUUGUAAAGUACUUUCAGCGGGGAGGCGUUACCCGAAGAAGAAGCACCGGCUAACUCCGUGCCAGCCGCCGCGGUAAUAC
RNAcentral lists this ribosomal RNA (406 nucleotides) under uncultured bacterium. Its description in RNAcentral is "partial 16S ribosomal RNA". It matches the Rfam family "Bacterial small subunit ribosomal RNA", at positions 30 to 526 of the family's 1533-position model. The record is from RNAcentral.